This 329-nucleotide unclassified non-coding RNA is filed under the name soil metagenome. Its description in RNAcentral is "partial contains 5.8S ribosomal RNA, internal transcribed spacer 2, and large subunit ribosomal RNA". The stretch from base 1 to 120 matches the Rfam family "5.8S ribosomal RNA", at positions 35 to 154 of the family's 154-position model. The record is from RNAcentral.
GAUGAAGAACGUAGCGAAAUGCGAUAAGUAUUGUGAAUUGCAGAAUUCAGUGAAUCAUCGAAUCUUUGAACGCACAUUGCGCCCCUUGGUAUUCCGAGGGGCAUGCCUGUUCGAGCGUCAUUAUAACCCCUCAAGCUCAGCUUGGUGUUGGGGCCUGCUGCACUGGCAGCCCUUAAAAUCAGUGGCGGCGCCAUCUGGCUCUAAGCGUAGUAAUUCUUCUCGCUAUGGAGUCCUGGUGGAUGCUUGCCAUCAACCCCCAAUUUUUCUAUGGUUGACCUCGGAUCAGGUAGGGAUACCCGCUGAACUUAAGCAUAUCAAUAAGCGGAGGA